GUGCAGGAUGGGGAUAACCCACGACCCAAGAAAAAGAAGAAAAUCAUGAAGAAGAAAACCAAAAGAAAAGCUUUCAAGAAACGUAACUAGACCUGAGGACAGCAUGUCAGAGGAUGUUACCAGCAGCUAAUUGUUAUAAAGUCUCUGUAAACAUUGUAAUAAAGAAACCAUUCCUCAUGACCUGUAUCCUACAGUGAA
Molecule: non-coding RNA, 198 nt
Organism: Neolamprologus brichardi
Lineage: Eukaryota; Metazoa; Chordata; Actinopteri; Cichliformes; Cichlidae
Source: RefSeq, a predicted model, not a curated record